This 253-nucleotide ribosomal RNA is filed under the name uncultured bacterium. Its description in RNAcentral is "partial 16S ribosomal RNA". It matches the Rfam family "Bacterial small subunit ribosomal RNA", at positions 524 to 776 of the family's 1533-position model. The record is from RNAcentral.
UACGUAGGGGGCCAGCGUUGUCCGGAAUCAUUGGGCGUAAAGCGCGCGUAGGCGGCCAGAUAAGUCCGGUGUGAAAGUCAAAGGCUCAACCUUUGAAUGCCGCUGGAAACUGUCUGGCUUGAGUCCGGGAGGGGCGAGUGGAAUUCCUGGUGUAGCGGUGAAAUGCGCAGAUAUCAGGAGGAACACCGAUGGCGAAGGCAGCUCGCUGGAGCGGUACUGACGCUGAGGCGCGAAAGCGUGGGGAGCGAACAGG